Molecule: ribosomal RNA, 408 nt
Filed under: uncultured bacterium
Lineage: Bacteria
Description: partial 16S ribosomal RNA
Rfam family: Bacterial small subunit ribosomal RNA
Source: RNAcentral
AUUGAACGCUGGCGGCAGGCCUAACACAUGCAAGUCGAGCGGAGUGGCGAACGGGUGAGUAACACGUGGGUGACCUGCCCUGCACUACGGGAUAAGCCUGGGAAACUGGGUCUAAUACCGGACAGUGUGGGAUGGGCCCGCGGCCUAUCAGCUUGUUGGUGGGGUAAUGGCCUACCAAGGCGGCGACGGGUAGCCGGUCUGAGAGGGUGGACGGCCACAAUGGGACUGAGACACGGACCAGACGCCUACGGGGGGCAAGAGUGGUGAGCAUUGCGCAAUGGGGGGGAGCCUGAUGCAGCUACGCCGCGUGUGGGAUGACGGCCUUCGGGUUGUAAACUCCUUUCACCAUCGACGCGGUAGAUGCAGAAGAAGCACCGGCUAACUACGUGCCAGCAGCCGCGGUAAUAC